RNAcentral lists this small nuclear RNA (22 nucleotides) under Arabidopsis thaliana (thale cress). RNAcentral's name for it is "snRNA_13275". The record is from RNAcentral. Lineage: Eukaryota; Viridiplantae; Streptophyta; Magnoliopsida; Brassicales; Brassicaceae.
AGGACGUUUUUGGACUCAGGAA